Molecule: ribosomal RNA, 948 nt
Filed under: uncultured bacterium
Lineage: Bacteria
Description: bacterial SSU rRNA
Rfam family: Bacterial small subunit ribosomal RNA
Source: RNAcentral
GGUUUGAGAGGAUGAUCAGCCCCAUUGGGACUGAGACCCGGCCCGAACUUCCUACGGGAGGCAGCCGUGGGGAAUAUUGGACAAUGGGGGCAACCCUGAUCCAGCCCUGCCGCGUGUGUGAAGAAGGCCCUCGGGUUGUAAAGCACUUUCAGCGAGGAAGAACGCUUAGUGGUUAAUACUCGUUGGGAAAGACAUCACUCGCAGAAGAAGCACCGGCUAACUCCGUGCCAGCAGCCGCGGUAAUACGGAGGGUGCAAGCGUUAAUCGGAAUUACUGGGCGUAAAGCGCGCGUAGGUGGCUUGAUAAGCCGGAUGUGAAAGCCCCGGGCUCAACCUGGGAACGGCAUCUGGAACUGUCAGGCUAGAGUGCAGGAGAGGAAGGUAGAAUUCCCGGUGUAGCGGUGAAAUGCGUAGAGAUCGGAAGGAACACCAGUGGCGAAGGCGGCCUUCUGGACUGACACUGACACUGAGGUGCGAAAGCGUGGGUAGCAAACAGGAUUAGAUACCCUGGUAGUCCACGCCGUAAACGAUGUCUACCAGCCGUUGGGAGUCUAGCGCACUUUGUGGCGCAGUUAACGCAAUAAGUCGACCGCCUGGGGAGUACGGCCGCAAGGUUAAAACUCAAAUGAAUUGACGGGGGCCCGCACAAGCGGUGGAGCAUGUGGUUUAAUUCGAUGCAACGCGAAGAACCUUACCUGCCCUUGACAUCUACAGAACUCUGAAGAGAUUCUGGGGUGCCUUCGGGAACUGUAACACAGGUGCUGCAUGGCUGUCGUCAGCUCGUGUCGUGAAAUGUUGGGUUAAGUCCCGUAACGAGCGCAACCCCUGUCCUUAUUUGCCAGCGAGUCAUGUGAGGAACUCUAAGGAAACUGCCGGUGACAAACCGAAGGAAGGUGGGGACAACGUCAGGUCAUCAUGGCCCUUACGGCUAGGGCUACCCACUUGCUAC